CCUACGGGGGGCAGCAGUGGGGGAUAUUGCACAAUGGGGGGAACCCUGAUCCAGCGACGCCGCGUGAGUGAAGAAGUAUUUCGGUGUGUAAAGCUCUGUCAGCAGGGAAGAAAAUGACGGUACCUGACUAAGAAGCCCCGGCUAACUACGUGCCAGCAGCCGCGGUAAUACGUAGGGGGCAAGCGUUAUCCGGAUUUACUGGGUGUAAAGGGGGCGUAGACGGGGCAGCAAGUCUGAUGUGAAAGGUCGGGGCCCAACCCCGGGACUGCGUUGGAAACUGUGGAACUGGAGUACAGGAGAGGCAAGCGGAAUUCCUAGUGUAGCGGUGAAAUGCGUAGAUAUCAGGAGGAACACCAGUGGCGAAGGCGGCCUACUGGACUGCAACUGACGUUGAGGCCCGAAAGCGUGGGGAGCAAACAGGAUUAGAUACCCCUGUAGUC
This 440-nucleotide ribosomal RNA is filed under the name uncultured bacterium. Its description in RNAcentral is "partial 16S ribosomal RNA". It matches the Rfam family "Bacterial small subunit ribosomal RNA", at positions 338 to 795 of the family's 1533-position model. The record is from RNAcentral.